GUACAGUACACUUUCUGGAGAGAGAGUAGGAUACCUCUGCAAGAACCUGAAAAUACAGUGACAAAAAAAGAGUAAACAACAAGAAGGGAUGCAGGAGGAUGUUCAAAUUAUUGCAGCAAAACAGAACAGUUAUAAUUUCAGCGCUCGGAAGGUGACGUGGCACGCCGGGAAACUGUGACGUGGAAAUAUUAAAACAGUUGGAUUUGCCAGCUAUAAUAAACUUUUUAAAAUAUAUAUAUAUAUCUAUGUGACACAUUAGUCCUAAGUGGAGAAUUCCCCCAAAUGAAAUAAGAAAAAUACCCUAAGUAUAGAAAAGAACUCUCGCACGAUGCUUGCAAUUGAAGAAGAAAGAACAAUCAAUCCGAAGCUCGUCGCCGGGAAUCAAUUGAAGUAGAGAAAAAAUUCCCAAAUCAUUCCAGCCGAUCCAAUCAAUCCGAAGCUCGUCUCUGAAUCGUCUGUCAAAGCUCGUCGUUGUGCAUCGCCACUGCUUGCAAGAGGACACCUCCAAAAUUUUCUACCAGGAUUAGCUACACUAAAGUACCUAAUGAGGUUACAUUAUCCAUGAAUGCAAUGUUCUUUGUGAC
Long non-coding RNA from Salvia miltiorrhiza (redroot sage), 584 nucleotides. RefSeq lists it as uncharacterized. NCBI's taxonomy places the organism in Eukaryota, Viridiplantae, Streptophyta, Magnoliopsida, Lamiales, Lamiaceae. The transcript has 3 exons. The record is from RefSeq and is a predicted model, not a curated record.